AAGAGACAGCAGUAGCCGCGGGAAUACGUAGGUGGCAAGCGUUGUCCGGAACUAUUGGGCGUAAAGGGCUCGCAGGCGGUUUCUUAAGUCUGAUGUGAAAGCCCCCGGCUCAACCGGGGAGGGUCAUUGGAAACUAGGAAACUUGAGUGCAGAGGAGGAGAGUGGAAUUCCACGUGUAGCGGUGAAAUGCGUAGAGAUGUGGAGGAACACCAGUGGCGAAGGCGACUCUCUGGUCUGUAACUGACGCUGAGGAGCGAAAGCGUGGGGAGCGAACAGGAUUAGAUACCCGCGUAGUCCCUGUCUCUUAUAC
RNAcentral lists this ribosomal RNA (310 nucleotides) under uncultured bacterium. Its description in RNAcentral is "partial 16S ribosomal RNA". It matches the Rfam family "Bacterial small subunit ribosomal RNA", at positions 503 to 807 of the family's 1533-position model. The record is from RNAcentral.